RNAcentral lists this transfer RNA (62 nucleotides) under Tamarixia radiata. RNAcentral describes it as "tRNA-Thr". Lineage: Eukaryota; Metazoa; Arthropoda; Insecta; Hymenoptera; Eulophidae. The record is from RNAcentral.
UAAUUUAAUUUAAAAAAAAUAUUAAAUUUGUAAUUUAAAAAUAUAAUUAUUUAUAAUUAAUA